AGAAACAUGUCUGAUAAAAGAAUUAUCUUGAUAGGGUAAAUUAUAGGGGUUUAAGUCCCCUUGUUUCUA
Molecule: transfer RNA, 69 nt
Filed under: Rhyncholestes raphanurus (Chilean shrew opossum)
Lineage: Eukaryota; Metazoa; Chordata; Mammalia; Paucituberculata; Caenolestidae
Description: transfer RNA-Ile
Rfam family: tRNA
About the family: Transfer RNA (tRNA) molecules are approximately 80 nucleotides in length. Their secondary structure includes four short double-helical elements and three loops (D, anti-codon, and T loops).
Source: RNAcentral